This 253-nucleotide ribosomal RNA is filed under the name uncultured bacterium. RNAcentral's name for it is "partial 16S ribosomal RNA". It matches the Rfam family "Bacterial small subunit ribosomal RNA", at positions 524 to 776 of the family's 1533-position model. The record is from RNAcentral.
UACAGAGGGUGCGAGCGUUAAUCGGAAUUACUGGGCGUAAAGCGUGCGUAGACGGUUAUUUAAGUCGGAUGUGAAAGCCCCGGGCUCAACCUGGGAAUUGCAUUCGAGACUGAAUAGCUAGGGUGCGGUAGAGGGAAGCGGAAUUUCCGGUGUAGCGGUGAAAUGCGUAGAUAUAGGAAGGAACACCAGUGGCGAAGGCGACCACCUGGACUGAUACUGACACUGAGGUGCGAAAGCGUGGGGAGCAAACAGG